Molecule: ribosomal RNA, 897 nt
Filed under: uncultured bacterium
Lineage: Bacteria
Description: bacterial SSU rRNA
Rfam family: Bacterial small subunit ribosomal RNA
Source: RNAcentral
AACGAACGCUGGCGGCGUGGAUAAGACAUGCAAGUUGAGCGCUGGUCACGGGGUAGCAAUAUUCCGUGAUUGGAGCGGCGCAAGGGUGCGCAACACGUGGGUAAUCUGCCGUGAAGUCCGGGAUAACUUGCUGAAAGGCGAGCUAAUACCGGAUGUGACCCUCGGGAGGCAUCUCCCGGUGGUUGAAGUUGGGGACCGCAAGGCCUGACGCUUCAUGAUGAGCCCGCGGCCUAUCAGCUAGUUGGCGAGGGUAACGGCCCACCAAGGCUAAGACGGGUAGCUGGUCUGAGAGGACGACCAGCCACACUGGAACUGAGACACGGUCCAGACACCUACGGGUGGCAGCAGUCGAGAAUUUUUCACAAUGGGCGAAAGCCUGAUGGAGCGACGCCGCGUGGGGGAUGAAUGGCUUCGGCCCGUAAACCCCUGUCAUUCGCGAUCAACCCUUGCUAUUUAAAAGAUGACGAGCUGAUAGUAGCGAAAGAGGAAGGGACGGCUAACUCUGUGCCAGCAGCCGCGGUAAUACAGAGGUCCCAAGCGUUGUUCGGAUUCACUGGGCGUAAAGGGUGCGUAGGUGGCGAGGUAAGUCGGAUGUGAAAGCUCGGGGCUUAACCCCGAAAUGGCAUUGGAAACUACCUUGCUUGAGGGUUGGAGGGGGGACUGGAAUUCUCGGUGUAGCAGUGAAAUGCGUAGAUAUCGAGAGGAACACCAGUGGCGAAGGCGAGUCCCUGGACAACACCUGACACUGAGGCACGAAAGCUAGGGGAGCAAACAGGAUUAGAUACCCUGGUAGUCCUAGCCGUAAACGGUGCAUGUUUGCUGUAAAAGGAAUCGACCCCUUUUGUGGCGGAGCUAACGCGUUAAACAUGCCGCCUGGGAAGUACGGUCGCAAGAUUA